RNAcentral lists this ribosomal RNA (899 nucleotides) under Fusarium oxysporum. RNAcentral describes it as "LSU rRNA". It matches the Rfam family "Eukaryotic large subunit ribosomal RNA", at positions 36 to 965 of the family's 3401-position model. The record is from RNAcentral. Lineage: Eukaryota; Fungi; Ascomycota; Sordariomycetes; Hypocreales; Nectriaceae.
UAGCAUAUCAAUAAGCGGAGGAAAAGAAACCAACAGGGAUUGCCCUAGUAACGGCGAGUGAAGCGGCAACAGCUCAAAUUUGAAAUCUGGCUCUCGGGCCCGAGUUGUAAUUUGUAGAGGAUACUUUUGAUGCGGUGCCUUCCGAGUUCCCUGGAACGGGACGCCAUAGAGGGUGAGAGCCCCGUCUGGUUGGAUGCCAAAUCUCUGUAAAGUUCCUUCAACGAGUCGAGUAGUUUGGGAAUGCUGCUCUAAAUGGGAGGUAUAUGUCUUCUAAAGCUAAAUACCGGCCAGAGACCGAUAGCGCACAAGUAGAGUGAUCGAAAGAUGAAAAGCACUUUGAAAAGAGAGUUAAAAAGUACGUGAAAUUGUUGAAAGGGAAGCGUUUAUGACCAGACUUGGGCUUGGUUAAUCAUCUGGGGUUCUCCCCAGUGCACUUUUCCAGUCCAGGCCAGCAUCAGUUUUCCCCGGGGGAUAAAGGCGGCGGGAAUGUGGCUCUCUUCGGGGAGUGUUAUAGCCCGUCGUGUAAUACCCUGGGGGGGACUGAGGUUCGCGCAUCUGCAAGGAUGCUGGCGUAAUGGUCAUCAACGACCCGUCUUGAAACACGGACCAAGGAGUCGUCUUCGUAUGCGAGUGUUCGGGUGUCAAACCCCUACGCGUAAUGAAAGUGAACGCAGGUGAGAGCUUCGGCGCAUCAUCGACCGAUCCUGAUGUUCUCGGAUGGAUUUGAGUAAGAGCAUACGGGGCCGGACCCGAAAGAAGGUGAACUAUGCCUGUAUAGGGUGAAGCCAGAGGAAACUCUGGUGGAGGCUCGCAGCGGUUCUGACGUGCAAAUCGAUCGUCAAAUAUGGGCAUGGGGGCGAAAGACUAAUCGAACCUUCUAGUAGCUGGUUUCCGCCGAU